UGCUGCUCUCACUUGCUCCUCUUGCUGCAGUCAUUACACAGCUCACUUUGUUUACAGGAUCAUCUUUCCUCCAUGCUCUGGGCUCCUUGAGAGCAGGGCUCUGUUUUAUUCUCAGUGUCCCUGGGCGUCUUCAGCAUCUAGUACUUUCCUAGCACCUAGCUGAGGAGGGACUCAAUUGAGUGGGAGUGAAGAGACGCCACAGCCAACCCCAGAUCCCUGCUGGUCUUCACAGAGGCAGCGUAUUUUCCUGUGGGUUGUCAAGACUCUCCUCCAGCUCUAUGAGCUGUGAACGGCUAAGAGAGCAGGAAACAUGUCCUAUUCACAUCAUCAGGCAAAAUGCCUGCCCCUACCCGAGGCCUCAAAAUUCAUGAAGAAGAUGACCUGGACCCCAAAAAUUGCUCUUCCAUUUACCUUCAGUUUCCAACUCUGUUACCACUCAGUGGAUGAUGGUGGGAGAUCUAUGAUGGUUUUCCCAUUUGCCUGGUGAGGAUUCGUCUCAAUCAACUUUGUCAAAGACAAAUUCAUUUCACUUCUUACUGAUAAGAGAUAUCAUCUUACUGACAGAAUAUAUCACACUCAUGCAAGAAUAUUUUUAAGUUGUAUGAGCUAAGGAAAUAAAAAUAUAUUGAAAUAAUGAA
This is a non-coding RNA of Equus caballus (horse), 638 nucleotides long. Lineage: Eukaryota; Metazoa; Chordata; Mammalia; Perissodactyla; Equidae. The record is from RefSeq and is a predicted model, not a curated record.